Molecule: unclassified non-coding RNA, 105 nt
Filed under: Klebsiella pneumoniae
Lineage: Bacteria; Pseudomonadati; Pseudomonadota; Gammaproteobacteria; Enterobacterales; Enterobacteriaceae
Description: SraJ
Rfam family: GlmZ RNA activator of glmS mRNA
About the family: This RNA was discovered in E. coli during a large scale screen. The sraJ gene was expressed in early logarithmic phase, but its level decreased with cell growth.
Source: RNAcentral
GUAGAUGCUCAUUCCAUCUCUUAUGUUCGCCUUCGUGCCUCAUAAACUCCGGAAUGAUGCAGAGCCGUUCUUACGGUGCUUAUCGUCCACUGACAGAUGUCGCAU